RNAcentral lists this ribosomal RNA (468 nucleotides) under uncultured bacterium. Its description in RNAcentral is "partial 16S ribosomal RNA". It matches the Rfam family "Bacterial small subunit ribosomal RNA", at positions 28 to 507 of the family's 1533-position model. The record is from RNAcentral.
GACGAACGCUGGCGGCGUGCUUAACACAUGCAAGUCGAACGGAAAGGCCCUGCUUUUGUGGGGUGCUCGAGUGGCGAACGGGUGUGUAACACGUGAGUAACCUGCCCUUGACUUUGGUAUAACUUCAGGAAACUUGGGCUAAUACCGGAUAGGAUCUCCUGCUGCAUGUUGUGGGUUGGAAAGUUUCGGCGGUUGGGGAUGGACUCGCGGCUUAUCAGCUUUUUGGUGGGGUAGUGGCUUACCAAGGCUUUGACGGGUAGCCGGCAUGAGAGGGUUACCGGCGACAUUGGGAAUGAGAUACGGCCCAGAGUGCAACGGGAGGCAGCAGUGGGGAAUAUUGCAAAAUGGGAGGAAGCCUGAUGCAGAAACGCCGCGUGCGGGAUGAAGGCCUUCGGGUUGUAAACAGAUUUAGCAUGAGAAGAAGAGUGAGUGACGGUAAUGGGUAAAGAAGCAACGGCUAACUACGUG